CGGGCUGUGGCGCAGUUCGGUUAGCGCACUGGUCUGGGGGACCAGGGGUCGGGAGUUCAAAUCUCCCCAGCCCGA
Molecule: transfer RNA, 75 nt
Filed under: Actinomycetota bacterium
Lineage: Bacteria; Bacillati; Actinomycetota
Description: Actinobacteria bacterium tRNA-Pro
Rfam family: tRNA
About the family: Transfer RNA (tRNA) molecules are approximately 80 nucleotides in length. Their secondary structure includes four short double-helical elements and three loops (D, anti-codon, and T loops).
Source: RNAcentral